This 80-nucleotide ribosomal RNA is filed under the name Bacillus pumilus. RNAcentral's name for it is "partial 23S ribosomal RNA". It matches the Rfam family "Bacterial large subunit ribosomal RNA", at positions 2845 to 2925 of the family's 2925-position model. The record is from RNAcentral. RNAcentral also lists the same sequence under 2 other names. Lineage: Bacteria; Bacillati; Bacillota; Bacilli; Caryophanales; Bacillaceae.
UGAUCAGGUUGAUAGGUCUGAGGUGGAAGCGUGGUGACACGUGGAGCUGACAGAUACUAAUAGAUCGAGGACUUAACCUA